AAGAUAUCAUAUAAAUGUUUAUAGUUUCGGCCUAUAAUAAGAAUAUUAAUAAUUAUUCUCUUU
RNAcentral lists this transfer RNA (63 nucleotides) under Bactrothrips quadrituberculatus. Its description in RNAcentral is "tRNA-Arg". Lineage: Eukaryota; Metazoa; Arthropoda; Insecta; Thysanoptera; Phlaeothripidae. The record is from RNAcentral.